Molecule: small nuclear RNA, 105 nt
Filed under: Meriones unguiculatus (Mongolian gerbil)
Lineage: Eukaryota; Metazoa; Chordata; Mammalia; Rodentia; Muridae
Source: RNAcentral
GUGAUUGCUUUAGCAGCACAUAUAUUAAAAUUGGAACAAUACACACAGGGUUACCUUGCCCCUGUGCAAGGUGAAAUGGAAAUUUGUGAAACAUUCCACAUUUUU